CUUGACUGUAGCUUGGAAUUGGGUUCGGGCUCUUCUUGCGCAGCCUAGGUGGGAGGCGUUGAAGGUUUUCUUUCGGGGGUACUGGAGCCAACAGUGAGAGACCACUCUGGAGGAGCUAGAAUUCUAAUGGCGUUCCUUGAAGCAGGACGCUUGACAGUUUCAGGUGGGCAGUUUGACUGGGGCGGUCACCUCCUAAAAGGUAACGGAGGUGUGCAAAGGUUCCCUCAGGCUGGACGGAAAUCAGCCGGAGAGUGUAAAGGCAGAAGGGAGCUUGACUGCAAGACCUACAAGUCGAGCAGGGGCGAAAGCCGGCCUUAGUGGUCCGACGGUUCCAUGUGGAAGGGCCGUCGCUCAACGGAUAAAAGUUA
RNAcentral lists this ribosomal RNA (368 nucleotides) under uncultured organism. RNAcentral describes it as "bacterial LSU rRNA". It matches the Rfam family "Bacterial large subunit ribosomal RNA", at positions 2099 to 2465 of the family's 2925-position model. The record is from RNAcentral.